CAAGCCCUGGAGGGAACUGAGGGGGUUCGCUACAGGUGGGACACUAGGGGGCCCAAGCAGUGAGCAACCAGCUUGCAGCGCAAAAGACCACCCAAGAAGCCAUAUACCAUGGGAGGAGGGAUCCCCCCCGCAGUGGAGCUGAUAAACCACCUCCAGAGAAGGGACUCAUCUUUUCUAUGUCCUAGGGACCAAGCCCUGAAAUGACAUAACACAAAUGGUCUGCUGAAAUUAUU
Molecule: non-coding RNA, 233 nt
Organism: Pelobates cultripes (western spadefoot toad)
Lineage: Eukaryota; Metazoa; Chordata; Amphibia; Anura; Pelobatidae
Source: the annotation of a GenBank genome assembly